CGCUGGAUUAUUAUAAUGUACUUCCAACAUGUAAUAAGAGCCUUCUGGAUGUUCUGCGAUCGGAAUACCAACGUGCUCUGGAAGCCACUCGCCUAGAAAAUUUACUGCUGAUUAGCAAUUAGCAGCUGAUACAAUUAGUGUAGGUUACCACACCUGUACUGCCACGAGCCCAAGCAAGGACCGGCUGCAAACAAGAUUCCCAUUCUCGAGGCAUCGUAGGACUGUAACAAGGUGCACCAACGAUCCUCGCGUGUCGUCCAAGAAUCGGUAAGGUCGAGGCACAUUCGUACAAUAUUAUAUGAUGAACCAGAUCCUCGUUCUCUUUUUCCACCAAAGGUGUAUACUGAAAGAAAAAAGAAACAAUUGGCGCUUGUUGUUUUUUUUUUUUUCUUUUUUCUUUAUUAACAUUUCAGCCGAGUCGUGCGAAUUCGAAGAAGACAAUGAUUCGGAAUACCGAAUUCAGUUCCUCUCUGGAAGAGGAUGGCUUCGAGAAGGUAGCAUUGACAAUCGAGGAACGUUUCGGACGUGGAAUGACAUCAUUCGGAGAGCCCCUUCUUUCUAUUCUAACGAUGUCCGUCUACAGUCUACACGGUGCCAUGUCCGGCACGGAUGACCGUGAUUCGUGAAGCACAUACGAAUCAGGCCCAACCUUUACAGAAUUCCUACGCGCAUCUCGCUUUUCUACACGUAAUCAAUUCCUAUUCUCGAAUCGGCAAUCUAGAUUGUUACUAUCGAGUCUGUGCAGGCUUUAGCGUACAACAAAAAUGCGAUCACUUACCCCGAUCAUGUGAUGCUUCUCCUUAUGAGGCGCUUUGAAGAUCUUGCACCAGUAGGUGGUGUCGGUGUUGUCUGAAACCGGGGGCUAUGCAUCAAGAGAAACAUAUAUAAUUAACUGUAGCAGUUAACGCCGAUUUAUCGGGGAAUAAGUUGAAUGCAAGAUGUACGUACUUGAUUCAGUUUUACAUCCCAGUGUCUGAUGUCUUGCGUGUGUUGCGGCGGUGAGUGCGGAGCGGCAGUUUUCAGACGCAAAGCUCGACCACCGCGUUUGUCACCUGGCCAAAUCGCAGUGUUUAACUCGGGAUCGCUUCGAUGAAGCGCCCAUAGGACUCGAAUGGUAUCACCCUACAUAUAUGGGAAUAGGAUAUUUUUGUUAACCUUCGAAUCGAUGCGAUGGAUUGAUUUCGAAGCACGCUGUUUAAACCUGCUGCGUUUGGAGAAUGAGAAUCGUGGAGGAUGCAGAGGAUCGCGAAUGGCAUGCUAAAUGCCUAAAUAUCAGCCCUUUGUCUCUAUCUUCUAAAUAUUCUCAUGCUCCGUCAGGUGAAAUUAAAAAGGUGAAUAAUUUAUUUUACAAGUGUGUCGCGUCGUGUCGAACGGCGCAGAACGACGAAGAACGGUGAAGAACGCUAAGAUGGAUAAUUAAAGAAGGUAAAUGAGAAUGGUAUUCUGUAGCCGAUUAAAAUGGUAAGUAGGAUCAUUUUGAGGUCUUGAAAUAAUUCAAACUUAUAGUGCUGUUCUUUACGCUUCCAGGCUUACCGUAAGCCGAUGAUCCUGAGGAUCGCAUGUCUGCCAGUUUCUCGAGAAGAUUACGCUUGUGUGCGUCUCGUUUUGCGAGCCUCCUAUCACUUUGACGUCUUGAGACGCGUCUGUAACCAACGCGGUGUCCGUAUCCUCGAUUCCGUGCGAGUCCUGAAAUAAAUAAGAAGAAGAAGGAGAAGAAGAAAAAAAAUAAAUGAAAAAUGUUGAAAUCGCAGGCAAGGUGAACGCACGCAGGCGAAAGGUGCUCGAGGGCCAGGAGACGAGCAGCAGAUCGAGCAGACCGAGAAGUUUAUCGGGUCAGGUGAGCGCGCCAGGUGUUUACAAUCGACAACGCACCGAAACUUUCUGUCAGCCUCCAUUUGUUACUCUCCUCCUGCUGCACUUUCUCCUCUACUCUUCUUUGGUCAGACAGUAUGUUGAAUUAGUGUAUUGAAAAGGAAAAUGGAGAAAUCAUAUUAGAUUUUACUUUUUAAGCGUAUGUAUGUGUGUAGUAUAAACAACAGUAUAUGUAUAUACGUUGUAUCCGAAGGAAAAAGAGAGCAUCGUCUGAAAGGCAGAAGGGAGGCCGCAGGCGUUUGGGUCCGUUGAAUUCCGAUUAUGGUCGGGCGCUAAAGUUUGUAAGAAGCCGAAGGGAAGUCCCCUUCCUGUUCGUAAUGAAUCGAAAUAAUUGACCGAACGUCGUCAUGCUUGCUGCGUGUUUUGUACCGAGCACGUGCAAAGAGGAAAUGGUAAUAAUGUUCGAUAUCGUAUCGGAAAAAAGAAGCUAACGUUCUUGUUCUGUGUUCUAUUUACAGAAUAAACAUUCUUCUUCUGAAAGAAUUGUUCGUUAUCGAAGAAUUUAUCAGCGGAGAAUCGUUGAAGGAAGGAAGGAAGGAAGGAAGGAAGAAACGAAGGAAAGAAAAAACGAAAGAAGGAGAUACACAUAAUUCUGCUUUUUAAUUGCGACCGGUCGUGGUGUGUUAUUCGGGCGGGGUUUAAGCGCGUUCUCACGAAGUUUGCAAGGGAUUUUCUCAUAGCACCCGGAUAUUCUCAUCGUCGUUGGACUAAUUAACACGACCCUGGAAUUGCUGGAGAUUCCGUGGCGAUUUCUUGAAUCGACUCGUCUCUUUCGCCGAGUGACGCUUUAAUUGCUGUGAUUUAUGCGUGCUUGAUUAAGAGGAAAAGCAUUUACCGCGUCCAGUUUGAUCGCGAUGAACUGGAAAAGUUGGUUGGCGAGUUAGACAUUCGCCUUUCCGGAACAGAUACCUACGUUCACCGAUUCGGUGCAAUUACACCGAAUGGGGGGCGAGAAAUGGAAGAAGAAUUAGCAAAAGUUGUUGCUACCAAAGCUCCUCGAUAUCCUUGGAGAACGGAGGGAGAGUCACGGAUGCAUGGGAAAAGAGGCAGGCGUGCGUGGAUGCGGAAAAUUAAUUCGACGGAUGUGACGUCAUGGAUCGGUACUCGCAUUUCCUAUGCGAGUCUUCUGAGAAACCUGUACGUUUCAGAAGAGAUCCCUUAUAGCCCACAUACAUACAUACAUACGUACGUACGUACGUACGUAAGUAAGUGUGAGAACAAUAUACAAAUUACUAGUUUUUCUUUUCUCUUUUUUCACUUUUUUCAGUGUUAAUUAUUUCACAUUAGGAAUUUUAAUUUGCGACGUAUGUUUGAUUUUUUCUUGUGAUUGCUUGGAAUAGAAAUUUUAUAAAAAUUAACCGUGAGCGAUUCUCGCGAAAUAUUUCAAUACAGCAUCGACGUCGCCCUCGUCUAUCGGUGUAAUCGAUCUUGAAGAAAAAAAAAAAAAAAAAAUGCUUUCCAAUCUGUAUACAAGUACAGACCACGAAAAAAAAGAAGAGAAAAGAAAAGAAAAACUUGUCUUUAUACCUCUGAAACGUCGUCGUGGUUCCCAUGGGAGCCAAGAUGCUAUGAAAAAGAGAGAAAUUCUCUCAUGAGGCGCCACUAGGAGGACGAUGCCUGCCAACUGCCAGGUGUUUUGGGGUAGAGCCUCAUUCUCUUUCUCUUCUCUACCCGUUUCGAACGUUUCGAACGUUUCGCCGGUAUUCCUUUCCCUUUCCCUUUCCCUUUCCCUUUCCCUUUCUCAUUUCUUUUUUUCUUUCUACCCUCCAACUUUUUCCCCUCUCUUUUCGACAACGCCUCGAGAAAGCCGACUAUUCGCUCCCUACAUACUCUUCUCUUUUUCUCCUUCUUUCGUUUCAUUGCUCUGUCUCUUCCCUGGUCAUAGGGGCUCUCCUUUUUACCACCUGGCAGAAACAGCAGAUGGUAGCGCAAAGCGAACUCUCGAAAGGGGAUAACCGCUCUCUAAGCGGAGCUAAAGUCCAAUCGAAACCGAUCCUGUUUUAGAUGGUCCCAUCUAUAAUUUUCCAAAGUUUCAGCCAGUUAACGCGUCUACCGUCUACUGUCAUUGUAUUAAACUCUCGUAAAAGAAUACGAGUAAUUUCCAACAUGUCGCCACAGUACAAGUCGAUCCGGUUCUCACACGUGUACGCUAACGGUGAGAAAAGUAGCUACGCGCAAUUAUGCUCACCGGCUCGUUAUAGCUCAUCGUACUUACUUUUACGAGCGUAUGCGGAAUAAUAAUCGACGAAUUAAAAUCUAGUGGAAACGUUGCUGUCAAGGUCUGUGAUCUUGACUCUCCCUUUCUCGCUUAGAAUUGCGCACUUUGCUUUGGCACAUUUCAACCCUUUUUAUUUUUUUAUUUAUUUAUUUUUUCAAAUACCGGUUGAGCUGGUGAUCGAUGAGUAAUCAGGAUAACAAUGCCUCGAUUGAGAAAGAUUUUAACAUACUUAACAUACUUAAUAUGAUUUACAGAUCCGGUUACCGUGUGAAUUGAUCGGCUCGGAAGCAGCAGCACGAGGAAUCAGCUUCCGCGAACCAGUUUGGCACCGGUUCAACCAGCUAGUGAUAAUUUUCACCUCAGCCCUCAAGGCGAAUCGAAAAGUCUACAUAGAAAGAAGUGGGUAAAAAUUGUCUUUUUUUUCUUCUCUUUCUACAUUGAAUUAUCUUGGAUGAACUCGAUAAGAGAGCUGUCAAGUCGCAUUUACUUACGUCCCCGUGAAAAAUAAUGCUUAUCGGCCUUAUCGGGCAAAGAAAAGGAAGGGUGGGAGGUGAAGUUGCAGCGAAAAAACAAACGAAAACUGGUUGUAUCGGGCUUUGAAAGAAGAGGAAGAAGAGGGUACAUGUCGAAGAUAAUGAGAAAAAGAUCACGUCGGAAGGUAAGGGGAACGAUCUAUGCACCGAGUAAGCCUGUUGUUGGACCAGGAGAUGGACGGAUCGCAGAUUAGCUUGCAUUUCAAAUUCACUUUGCGAAACGCGUUCCCUUGCCUCUGUAAUAAAUUACGAUCGUAAUCGUUGUACGUGCACGUCCCGUUGCUCCAUGCGAAUAACUUUCGAGUUGCUCAACUUUCUUCUCCGCCCAUGAGAUUGUUUCGCGCGAAAUUUCGUAGAAAUUAAAGGAAGACGUUUUCCUCUUUCUAUUUCAAUUAUUAUUAAUGAAAACGAUCGCAUGGCUGAGAAAUGGAGGGCUUUUUUUCUUUCUUCGCAACGAUACCGAAAGAUUCGUGUAUGGCGUAUAGCCUCCCCUCGCCAAUGUCUGGAGGCCUUGACUGGGCCCCAUUGGAACCCCUGCCUGCCUGCCUGCCUGCCUGCCUGCCUGCCUGCCGUCGCGUCGCGAUCCUUUCCAUACGUGUGUUGGUCGCACAUUUAGUCACGCAACCUCUCCAAUACCUUCUUUGCCACCUUUUGUAACCUACGAUACACCAGGCGAUACAGAAAUUUCAAACAACAAUUACCGUUAACCGAACACAAUAAUCAUCGAUUCAUGUCGAUUAGUAAAAAAUGCAAAUGUUUCACUGAUUUUCAAUAAUAAUUGACAGUUUGAUUUUCUUUUUUUUUCUUCUUCAUUUCGGUAAUUCCAUUCCAGGGGUAAUCUGUCCAGUCAUGCGUUCGACGAGCGGUCAUGGGUUCCGAAUUCGUCAAGGUAAAAAAGGGGCGAGAAAUGCCUCGCUGCCCUCGACGGACGUAAAUUUAUCAUGACUUUAUCUCGACCGGUGGAACGACGUUCGUUAAUUUUCUACCAGCCGUUCUUCUCUCUCUCUCUCUCUCUCUCUCUUCUCUCCCACCUGCUCGCAUCAAUUCUUUCUUUUUCAACCCUUCGUUGUAUCACAGGACGAGAAUCGGCUAAAUUCUUAAAGGAUUCAUAUUUGUUUCACAUAUUAAGCACCGUUCUUACCCCUUGGUCGAAUCUCUAUCGUUUUCCAAAAGUUAAUUGCAUCGAGUAAAAAUGGUAAAUCGUAGACACAGACAGAGGCGCAUUGGAUAAUUGUACAGUGAACAGGUUCCCGUUGACGCUGCAUACCUUGGACGGAUAUAAAUUUAAUUAAGAUUAGGAAUUCGGAGAAGCUGUAGUUUUCAAGCAGGUUUCGAUAACCAGUUUCUUUUUUUUUAAUUUAAUCCUUUUAUUGCAUAUCUUCUCAUUCAAAGUUGACUGAAAGUUGACUUGGCGUUCGGUUCAAAGUUUUAUCGUGUUGCGGUAGAAAUUCCGUUCUUUAAAAUCGAGUAGAAUCAAUUGUGAUGCGUUAAUUAAACGAAACUCGUUAAUACGAAAGGUGCACGCGAAACGUGGGAUCAAAGAGAUAUCCCUUUCGAAAGGGAUUUCGUCGUACGGUCGCGGUCGGUUAGAAGAGGCCGAUACUUUAAUUCGCGAUUCUCCUUUUUCUUUUUCUUUUUCUUUUUCUUUUUCAUCUUUCUUUCCUUCUUUCAGCUCCGCAGGUUCUUCAGACUGCUGUUUUCGACCGCCUUGCCUUCUUAAUCUUUCUUUUUACCUCCUUUUUCUCCACUUCUUCUUCUUUGUUACCUCUUCUUUUUAUAUUCUUUCAGUUCCUUCUCUCCAGCUCGAUUCAUGGCAACGAGGACCCAGGUCGAUAGAUCUUCAGCUGUCCCGUGUAGAGGGAAGAAUCGCGAAAAACUUGUUGCUUCGUUGAAAGGAUAUUCUUGAAGAGACGUUGCAAAGCCGACAAACAGCCGAAGAAGGGUCUUUUGAGAAAGGAAGAGGAAAUCGUCACACCGUCUGAAUGCUUCUCCUCUUAUUAUUUUCCUUCCACGAUUAUUCUCUUCCGCGUCUAGACAAUUUGUAAAGAAAACAUACUGCACCGAGUAGACAAUGGGCAAUCAUCGUUCAGCUUUUUAUAUUUCAGAAUGGAACAGUGACGAGUCUUAAGCUACGUGUACUUGAGCUAUUUAUCAAUUUGUAGAAAGAUGGCUAAAAUCCUUCUAACGUUCAACUUUUUUCCGUCCAGGGUGGAUUCUUUGCGACCGACCGAAAGGAAAGGAAAUGGAAAUGGGGAAAUGGAAAGGUCUGUUGCUGCUGCUGCUGCUGCUGCUACUUCCUGCGGAAGCCAUUUUUUCGAAACCGGAGACGCAUUUAUCAGUGGUGGUGGUGGUGGUGGUGUUCCAGAAAGAAACGAGGGGCUGCGAAAACAACUGCGGCAGAUGUGAACUCUUGGCACGCGCCCUUCUGUGCGACAGUGGUUCUCAUUCAGACGGCAAAUCAGACAAACACACCAAUCAUAAUUGUUUGUCUUACGUCAACUGAUUGAGUCUACUACAUUUCGUUUUAUCUGGGGUAAAACAAGCGUCACUACAUAUGGUAAUAAAAGCAUCAAAGUAUCCAUAAACUGCUAUGUGAUUUGAUUUGUCAAAUCUUUAAAUGACCGCAUAAAAAUGCGUCCGCACGCGUGUUAGGAAGCCAACUCUGUAUCAAGUUACUUCCGGUAACUAACAUUGAAACUUUAUACUCUGCAAGGAAGGGUUAGCAAUCUUUCAUAUUCUUUCGUGAAUGAAUUCGACCAAGGUUGAUAGAGAAAUAUCUGUAAACUUGAAAAAAAAAAAAAAAAAAAAAAAAAACAUUUAUUUGUAAAUAAGUUUGACACGAAUCGAUACUCGGUUCACACUUUUUCUCCGUUCACCUUUUAAUAGGCAAUGGAAGAUGGAAUUGCUUUUCCAGAAAUUUCUUUCAGUCAGGUAUCGCUUAUCGUGAAAGAGAAUUUCUUUAUUGCGAAAAGACGUCGUCGGUCAAGAAGCAAGCUUACUGCAUUAUUUCUUUGUUCGCAGGAAUCCGUGGACCGAUUGGGAUUCGUGCCAGAAGGAACCUUUCAUUUUCUAUAAGGAGAAAUUGCGAAUUCUUCGGAAACAGGAGAGGUAGACGAUACGUGGAAGUCUGAAGUUUUCCUAGCUUUCCUGGCUUUUUUUUCUUUUAAGUUUCACAAGUUCUCUAGAUUUUCAAAUUGUCUCAAUUCUACAAACGUUUUCUAAUUCUUUUACAAUUUUCUAGGUGCCUCGAAUGAUCCAAGAGGAUGGAAAUUAGUAAAAAAUUGUCUGACGUCGCGUUUCUGUCCAGAGAAUUAAGCGAAGCUACUCAACUGCCGUUUAGUAUUCCACUGGCGAAUUUAUUCAACAUCCUCCACGUGGGUUAUUUACCAGAGAGGGCACGAUAUCGGCUCGGAAAUCUCGUUGUCCUGGGAAAAACCAAAGCUUCGUGAUAGGUACGAAGCAUAAGAAGUGAAUCAGUGAUUUUUAUCAUUUCGUAAGCACGAACGCCAGUCAACUUACGGACUGAUCGAAAGACCGUCUCUCAAUUAGCAUUCAAUACGGCUCACUUUAGUCGUUGCAGUCACCUGUUCCCUGUCCAGGGAACACCUGCUAUAAAGUAAUUUUCCUUCGAGAGUUCACACCAUCUGCCUUUUUGUAUUUCGAAUUUCGAUUGCCAGAUAUGCGACAGUUCUACAUAUAUGACAGUGUUCUAAAAUGUAUGUAUGUAUGUAUGUAUGUAUAUAUCUAUAUAUAGAUGAACAA
Osmia lignaria (orchard mason bee) is the source of this 8385-nucleotide non-coding RNA. Lineage: Eukaryota; Metazoa; Arthropoda; Insecta; Hymenoptera; Megachilidae. The record is from RefSeq and is a predicted model, not a curated record.